GUAUCGCUCUUACUGCUCUAAAUUUAUAUACUUAAAUACUAGAAACAAGAACUUGAAAUAUACGAUGAAAAAUCUCCAUGUAAGCUGUCAUAUCCAUUACAUUGCUUUACAACCAGGUAGCACAGGUAUGUAGAUAGUACGGCUGAAGCACCUUUGCCGGAUAAAACGCAUGUUAAUUUUUGUGGAAAUGCGAGAAACACACGCAGCACACAAGGAUGCCAGGUGCAGCCACCACGUGGAAAUGCAACUGCGGAGGAGACUAGGCCCAGCGGAGUGAAACCAGAGGGUUGAUGGCAUCGGGAUGAAAUGUUGGACCAAACGAGAGCCACAAAUUGCGGCAGAAUGCAUUUUUCAAAAGACAAAACCGGAGAGGAGGAUGCAAUCUCAAGUGGUUAUCUCCGAGGCCCUCUGGACCUGUGGGACAUGGGGACCAAAGUCAACAUCAAAGUUCACGCCGACAAAGCGUCGAGAGUAAAUGUUUAAUGAGCGAGGCGCGCGGGGAGCGUAGUUUGCUAAAAAGGAGUAAAGGAUCACGACUCCUUCAAGCCCGGGCGCAAGCCAAUUAAAACAAAGGCCAAAAAACAAAUGCACUUCAAGGGGGGAAAGCUGGGGGGUAAGCGCGUUUGACAGUGUCAAAGGACCCGAGGAGCGAGCCUACCACGUGAAGUGUUUGGCAACAUUGUUGGACCUGCCAGGACCUUCCACGAACUCCCAGGACCUCCCAUUCCCACACCCCCCUUUUCCAUUCCCAGCACGUACUCUAAGCAACAGUUCUUCUUUGAAGUCAAAAGGAUUUUUUCCCAGGCUGCAGCAAAAAUCGCAGGCACAGUAAAUUAGCUACACUUCACUCGACUGUUUGGCCCCCGGGAAAGGAAAGGGGCUCAGGAAUUUCCACGGGAGAGUGGGGAAAAUUCCAUGCUGCAGCUGCUGCCUUCCGAAGUAUGGAUGACAUGCUAAUCAAGGUGGCAAAUUAAUCGGGAAGAAGAAAACUUGAUCGAUGGAUUGAAGUGGGCCAAGGGAAAUGGUCUCUAAUUGAAGCUGAAAAGUUAACUAAGUAUCAACAUUUCUGCACUUCAAAUAAAAAGAGUAACAAAUAUGACGAACAGAGGUGAUUGCUGAGCGCCAAUAAAAGUGGGAUUACAAUCAAUUGCCCGUCGUCCCUGACUUCGCCACUUAGCCUGCGAUCCCGCCCGCGUCAACCCCCUGGACCACAUCAAAAGCCACCCCCGGGUGGAUUCCCUUGGAUUCCCUUGGAAUGCUGUGGCUAUAUCCUCGUUCUUCGGAUUUGACCAGCCUGCGGGCUCGGGCUCGUCGGUCGGUGUCUAAUCAAAAAUGCAAUGUUUGGCUUGGUUAAGCGGAAAUCGGUAGAUUGCGUUCGCACAGUUUUCGCUUGUUGAUAUUAACACAUUCCUCCCACUCCGUUCGCAUCCUAUGCCAUCAACACCCCCACGGGCGGAGGUGGGUUAAUGAAACGUCACAGAUGAUGACGACGUUGGCAUAAGAUUUCAAUGAUAUGUCAAAACUGAGUGAUGCUGAUGAUGGAUGGGUGGUCAUAACACAGUAUCCUUCGUCCUA
Drosophila melanogaster (fruit fly) is the source of this 1575-nucleotide non-coding RNA. The record is from Ensembl. NCBI's taxonomy places the organism in Eukaryota, Metazoa, Arthropoda, Insecta, Diptera, Drosophilidae.